CAUGCAAGUCGAGCGGAAAGGCCCCUUCGGGGGUACUCGAGCGGCGAACGGGUGAGUAACACGUGAGCAACCUGCCCCUGACUCUGGGAUAAGCCCGGGAAACUGGGUCUAAUACCGGAUGUGACCAGCCUCCGCAUGGAGUGCUGGUGGAAAGUUUUUCGGUUGGGGAUGGGCUCGCGGCCUAUCAGCUUGUUGGUGGGGUGAUGGCCUACCAAGGCGACGACGGGUAACCGGCCUGAGAGGGCGACCGGUCACACUGGGACUGAGACACGGCCCAGACUCCUACGGGAGGCAGCAGUGGGGAAUAUUGCGCAAUGGGCGGAAGCCUGACGCAGCGACGCCGCGUGAGGGAUGACGGCCUUCGGGUUGUAAACCUCUUUCAGCAGGGACGAAGCUAACGUGACGGUACCUGCAGAAGAAGCGCCGGCUAACUACGUGCCAGCAGCCGCGGUAAUUA
This 457-nucleotide ribosomal RNA is filed under the name Actinomadura sp. YN-7-8. RNAcentral describes it as "bacterial SSU rRNA". It matches the Rfam family "Bacterial small subunit ribosomal RNA", at positions 54 to 525 of the family's 1533-position model. The record is from RNAcentral. Lineage: Bacteria; Bacillati; Actinomycetota; Actinomycetes; Streptosporangiales; Thermomonosporaceae.